GAUAUAAAUAUGUUUGCUUUCUAGAUAUUGACGAGUGUUUGCAACCGAAUAUUUGUCCAGCUAAUUCAAAUUGUACCAACUUUCCUGGAUUAUACAAUUGUGUGUGCCACCCAGGAUAUGGAGGCGCAGCUUGCAAUGGUACAGUUCAUUAAUUCUCGUUUUAAAUACUAGUUAAAAUAUGAACAGCUGAUCUUCAUGGGCGUUUAAAUUCCCACUGAGAUCAGAUGCAAAUAUUUUAACGUAGCCUACUUGUAAAAUGAAUUUAUUUGUUUACUUUAUUAGCAUUCACUACCCAUUGGGACAAUCUCACGCUUCAUUAGCAUGCAUAAACAAGCACGGAAUGUUUUUCCAGUCAUGCACUGUAUAACCUGAAGUUCAAGCCCUAAUUUUAAUUAGGGCCUGAGUUUCAGGUUAUGUCUCUGCGUAAAGCACAUUUUAAAAUUUUAUUUGCAGUAUGUUUAAACAGGAUAUUAAUUUUAAUUAGAACAACUGUUACGAAACGAGACCUAAUGAGACCAAAUAAUUUGACCAUUUCACUGAGAAGAAAUUAGCUAUUCUUGUAUUUCUGGCUACACAGGAGAUGGAACAAGUUGUGAAAGUUAGUUUUCAUUAAAAUAGUUACAUUCUUCGCGACUGCAUGGUUAUGCUAUAAUAGGAUGGUACAGAAACUUACAUUCGAAAAUUCCAAAUAGAAAAAAUCCCCAGCAAACACCAGCAGCUCAUGUCUUGGCUUUAUGGCGCUUAUAUAUUAUGCAGUACAGGGCGCUUAUAUAAUGGGCAGUGCAACGCGCUGAUGUUGCGCUGAUCGAUGUGUGAUGCGGAAAAAGACUGGCACGAGCGUUCUUUUCGUCAAAAGUUCACAAGGAACGUGAUUUUUACUUCUGCUGCAUAAUUAUGCGCUGUUUUUUCAUUAACUACGAAAUUCUUGAGGAUCUUUUUGCACUGUAACUACGAAGUAGUGCUUGAUUAGCCUAUAUAGUUGAACUUUAAAUUAAAUAAGUAUUGAGGAUAAUGGCUCGUACUUUUGAUAACUUCAACGAAGGGAAAUUUUCAGAACGGCAUUUGGGCAUGUUAUCAAGUCGUCCAAACUUCGAAAUUCAGUUGAUGAUAAAAAUUAUAAUUAUGUGCUUUUCUCCAAAAUUUUCCACAAAAUUCGGAGUUGAGCGUACGUUUGAAUACAUAGCGUUGGAAAGUGAGGUACUUUUGCGGGUUAAAUUUUGCCUCGUUAGACCACUUCGCUGCAACAUAGGUAAACAACAAUUAUAUUUUGGCCCUGUCAUGAUUUUUUGUUAUCCCCGAACCAACGGUGCGGAGCGCCGUUCCGACAUUAGGCUGGGGCGAGGGUUCUAAUUCCGCACGGCUAUUUACCCCCUGGGAAAGAAACACAUUAGCGAAGUCUAAAGUUCAUCAAAAAUCGUGGGCGCAUGACUGUGGUUUACCAUUCAUGGGUGGUUAUCCUCACUGUAUCACAUGUCUCAAAAUAUAGCGGACUGCCUUGAAUAGCAAACACUGGUAGGUCAAAUUUAAAAUUUGCAUUAUAACGACUGCAUGACGACAGCGAAAUAACAAACAUUUCUUGCAAACAUAAAUAUAUUUCAAUUUUGCAAAAUUUUGUAAAAUUGUUUGUAAAUUUGCAAAUUAAGUUUUUUGAGCCAAAACCAAAAGACUUGCUAAAUGAAGGAAACAAAGACACCGACAUUAAUGAAGGUAAGUUUGUUUUAAAUAUUGAUGUAUUGCUUGCUAUAUAAUUGCUUUCAAAACUGAUCGUUGCCUAUAAAUAAAAAUAUAAUUUCAAUGCAUAUUUAUUGAUUACCUUUUUUGUUAUCUCAAUAUUUUUAAUAAUGAGGAGUGCAAAGUUAUUUCCAUGCAUGCGAGAAAUCAUUUUAUUUCAAACUCCAAGAUUGUCGAUAAAAGUCAGUAAGAACAUUUUAAAACAAUUUGCAAAGCGUUAAUUUGUGGUUCAAGCAAUGGGUAACAAAUAUAUACAUUCGAAUUAAAUGUGAACAGAUGAAAAUUUGAAUUUGAAAAGUGAACUUUACUUUUUUACCUGUUUCAGAUAUCGACGAAUGCCAGGAAAACACGCAUAAUUGUCAUAACAAUGCCACGUGUUCAAAUAAUGAAGGAAGUUUCGACUGCCAAUGUAUCCAGGGUUACACAGGUGAUGGUACAGAUUGUACCGGUAAGUUUUAUAUAAUACCAAAAUA
RNAcentral lists this long non-coding RNA (2204 nucleotides) under Paramuricea clavata. Lineage: Eukaryota; Metazoa; Cnidaria; Anthozoa; Malacalcyonacea; Plexauridae. The record is from RNAcentral.